This 782-nucleotide ribosomal RNA is filed under the name uncultured microorganism. RNAcentral describes it as "bacterial SSU rRNA". It matches the Rfam family "Bacterial small subunit ribosomal RNA", at positions 61 to 890 of the family's 1533-position model. The record is from RNAcentral.
GUCGAACGGAUCCUUCGGGAUUAGUGGCGGACGGGUGAGUAACACGUGGGAACGUGCCUUUUGGUUCGGAACAACUCAGGGAAACUUGAGCUAAUACCGGAUAAGCCUUUCGAGGGAAAGAUUUAUCGCCAUUAGAGCGGCCCGCGUAGGAUUAGCUAGUUGGUGGGGUAAAGGCCCACCAAGGCUACGAUCCUUAGCUGGUCUGAGAGGAUGAUCAGCCACAUUGGGACUGAGACACGGCCCAAACUCCUACGGGAGGCAGCAGUGGGGAAUCUUGCGCAAUGGGCGAAAGCCUGACGCAGCCAUGCCGCGUGAAUGAUGAAGGUCUUAGGAUUGUAAAAUUCUUUCACCGGGGACGAUAAUGACGGUACCCGGAGAAGAAGCCCCGGCUAACUUCGUGCCAGCAGCCGCGGUAAUACGAAGAGGGCUAGCGUUGCUCGGAAUUACUGGGCGUAAAGGGAGCGUAGGCGGAUAGUUUAGUCAGAGGUGAAAGCCCAGGGCUCAACCUUGGAAUUGCCUUUGAUACUGGCUAUCUUGAGUACGGAAGAGGUAUGUGGAACUCCGAGUGUAGAGGUGAAAUUCGUAGAUAUUCGGAAGAACACCAGUGGCGAAGGCGACAUACUGGUCCGUUACUGACGCUGAGGCUCGAAAGCGUGGGGAGCAAACAGGAUUAGAUACCCUGGUAGUCCACGCUGUAAACGAUGAGUGCUAGUUGUCGGCAUGCAUGCAUGUCGGUGACGCAGCUAACGCAUUAAGCACUCCGCCUGGGGAGUACGGUCGCA